Long non-coding RNA from Sarcophilus harrisii (Tasmanian devil), 387 nucleotides. RefSeq lists it as uncharacterized. The record is from RefSeq and is a predicted model, not a curated record. NCBI's taxonomy places the organism in Eukaryota, Metazoa, Chordata, Mammalia, Dasyuromorphia, Dasyuridae. The transcript is spliced from 3 exons.
UAGUUGGAGGUAAAUAUGCUUGCCUCAGAGGCAGAAGACUUGCAUUGAAAAUGAGUGUUCAUGCUUACCAUAUGACUGCGAUUAAGGAAUUUCAAUCUCCCUGAGCAUCAGUUUCUCCUUCUAUAAAAUUGAAGACUCACUGCUCAGGUUGAUGUGAGGUAGAAUCUUUGAAAAGUAAAGUUUUGGAUGAAUGAAGCCUACUGGACUUAGAGGCAAGAGGAAGUGGGUUCUGAUCCUGGCUUUAACUCUUAAUAGUAUCAUGACCACAGAGUCUUUUACCCAUUUAAUCCUCAGAACAAGGAUGGGCCAUUAAGUGAGACUCCAGUCUUUUGGACGUUGCUUCUGGAGGUCACCAUGUGCUUCUCCUGCUCUGAAACAGAUUGCUUG